UACGUAGGGUGCAAGCGUUAAUCGGAAUUACUGGGCGUAAAGCGUGCGCAGGCGGUUUUGUAAGUCUGACGUGAAAUCCCCGGGCUCAACCUGGGAAUUGCGUUGGAGACUGCAAGGCUGGAGUCUGGCAGAGGGGGGUGGAAUUCCACGUGUAGCAGUGAAAUGCGUAGAGAUGUGGAGGAACACCGAUGGCGAAGGCAGCCCCCUGGGUCAAGACUGACGCUCAGGCACGAAAGCGUGGGGAGCAAACAGG
This 253-nucleotide ribosomal RNA is filed under the name uncultured bacterium. RNAcentral describes it as "partial 16S ribosomal RNA". It matches the Rfam family "Bacterial small subunit ribosomal RNA", at positions 524 to 776 of the family's 1533-position model. The record is from RNAcentral.